CAACCCGCAACGCUCUCGAGUUUGAGCGCUCUGAUUCAGAGAAUUUGCCUCACCUGGUAUCUAAGCAGAUUUCUUCAAUGCUGUCUGGU
Long non-coding RNA from Neltuma alba, 89 nucleotides. RefSeq lists it as uncharacterized. The transcript is spliced from 2 exons. NCBI's taxonomy places the organism in Eukaryota, Viridiplantae, Streptophyta, Magnoliopsida, Fabales, Fabaceae. The record is from RefSeq and is a predicted model, not a curated record.